Molecule: ribosomal RNA, 302 nt
Filed under: uncultured bacterium
Lineage: Bacteria
Description: partial 16S ribosomal RNA
Rfam family: Bacterial small subunit ribosomal RNA
Source: RNAcentral
GCAGUCGCCACGGGAAUACGGAGGGGGCUAGCGUUGUUCGGAAUUACUGGGCGUAAAGCGCACGUAGGCGGCUUGGUAAGUUAGAGGUGAAAGCCUGGAGCUCAACUCCAGAAUUGCCUUUAAGACUGCCGAGCUAGCAGGUGAGAGAGGUAAGUGGAAUUCCGAGUGUAGAGGUGAAAUUCGUAGAUAUUCGGAAGAACACCAGUGGCGAAGGCGGCUUACUGGCUCAUACUGGACGCUGAGGUGCGAAAGCGUGGGGAGCAAACAGGAUUAGAUACCCGCGUAGUCCCUGUCUCUUAUAC